UCCGAGUUCCGGUUAUCGAAUUUAGGAACCGGCCAGUGUUACGUACGAAUAGCCCUCACCGUUACUGUCCGAACGUCCGAGGAUUCAUGGCGAUCGGUACGUAAGCUUAAAUCCGAGAACUCGAUGAGCAGCACAAGCUAUGACGUAAGCUGAGUCGGUUCGGACAAGAUAGAUACUGUAGUCCCCACGUACGAUGGAUGCCCCUUUGCGAAUAUACUGUGAGCGGCCAAGGAAAUCGUUAAGCCAUCCCACCUUGGGGAAGUACCCGCACCGGUGAAACUCCAAAGAAUUGACCGGGGCCCGCCCCAAGCGGAGGAACAUGUGGUUUAAUCGAUGAUACCGCGAGAACCUACCCGGGCUUGAACUGCAGGCGAACGAUACCAGAGAUGUUGAGCCCUUCGGGCCCCCUGUGAGUGCUGCAUGUGUCGUCAGCUCCGUGCCGUGAGUGUCGGCUUAAGUGCCAUAACCGAGCCCCAACCCUUUUCAUUAGUUGCCCAUCAGGUAAUGCUGGGCACUCUGGUGAUACUGCCACCGUAAGGUGUGAGGAAGGUGGGGAUGACGUCAAAUCAGCACGGCCCUUUACGUCCGGGGCUACACACGUGUUACAAUGGGAGGUACAGAGAGUCGGUGCAUGGCAAUAUGCAUCUAAUCCUUAAAGCCUUCCUCAGUUCGGAUUGGGGUCUGCAACCCGACCCCAUGAAGCUGGAUUCGCUAGUAAUCGCGCAUCAGCCAUGGCGCGGUGAAUACGUUCCCGGGGCGUGGUACACACCGCCCGUCAAGCCAUGAAAGCCGGGGGCGCUUGAAGUCCGUGACCGCAAGGAUCGGCCUAGAGCGAAACUGGUAAUAAGGCU
Molecule: ribosomal RNA, 851 nt
Filed under: uncultured bacterium
Lineage: Bacteria
Description: bacterial SSU rRNA
Rfam family: Bacterial small subunit ribosomal RNA (bases 257-851)
Source: RNAcentral